RNAcentral lists this transfer RNA (77 nucleotides) under Candidatus Omnitrophota bacterium. RNAcentral's name for it is "tRNA-Val". It matches the Rfam family "tRNA". Rfam says of the family: Transfer RNA (tRNA) molecules are approximately 80 nucleotides in length. Their secondary structure includes four short double-helical elements and three loops (D, anti-codon, and T loops). The record is from RNAcentral. Lineage: Bacteria; Pseudomonadati; Candidatus Omnitrophota.
GGGCGGUUAGCUCAGUUGGUUAGAGCACUACCUUGACAUGGUAGGGGUCACAGGUUCAACUCCUGUACCGCCCACCA